This 262-nucleotide signal recognition particle RNA is filed under the name bacterium. RNAcentral describes it as "signal recognition particle sRNA large type". It matches the Rfam family "Bacterial large signal recognition particle RNA". From Rfam's summary of the family: The signal recognition particle (SRP) is a universally conserved ribonucleoprotein involved in the co-translational targeting of proteins to membranes. Archaeal SRP consists of a 7S RNA and homologues of the eukaryotic SRP19 and SRP54 proteins. In most bacteria, the SRP consists of a 4.5S RNA and the Ffh protein (a homologue of the eukaryotic SRP54 protein). The record is from RNAcentral.
CCGCGCAGCCGGGGAGUUAGCGGUGCCCUGUACUCGCAAUCCGCUCUAGCGAGGGUGAUGUUUUACCCCGGAUAGUCUUUUGUAGGGCUGCCCCUGAAAAGUGGCGAUGACGUUUGGGUCUUGCGCAACAGAACUCCAUGAACCGUGUCAGGGCGGGAACGCAGCAGCACUAAGUGGAACCCUCUGUGUGCCGUAAGGCAGCCUGGACUGAGUUAACUGUCAGGGUAACGCUUAUGAAAGCUAUUCAAAGUAAAACGCGCGG